GAUGAACGCUGGCGGCGUGCCUAAUACAUGCAAGUCGAGCGAACGGACGAGAAGCUUGCUUUUCUGAUGUUAGCGGCGGACGGGUGAGUAACACGUGGAUAACCUACCUAUAAGACUGGGAUAACUUCGGGAAACCGGAGCUAAUACCGGAUAAUAUUUUGAACCGCAUGGUUCAAAAGUGAAAGACGGUCUUGCUGUCACUUAUAGAUGGACCCGCGCUGCAUUAGCUAGUUGGUAAGGUAACGGCUUACCAAGGCAACGAUGCAUAGCCGACCUGAGAGGGUGAUCGGCCACACUGGAACUGAGACACGGUCCAGACUCCUACGGGAGGCAGCAGUAGGGAAUCUUCCGCAAAGGGCGAAAGCCUGACGGAGCAACGCCGCGUGAGUGAUGAAGGUCUUCGGAUCGUAAAACUCUGUUAUUAGGGAAGAACAUAUGUGUAAGUAACUGUGCACAUCUUGACGGUACCUAAUCAGAAAGCCACGGCUAACUACGUG
Molecule: ribosomal RNA, 497 nt
Filed under: uncultured bacterium
Lineage: Bacteria
Description: partial 16S ribosomal RNA
Rfam family: Bacterial small subunit ribosomal RNA
Source: RNAcentral